GCUGACGUCAGAUGCGCUGGCCAAUGAGCGCGGGGCCUGCUGCGGCCGCACGCGCAGUCCUGCCCAGAGACGCCAGGGGGAGGAAGAGCGCGAGCCCCUGAGACAGCAAAGGUGCCCGGAAGUGGGAGACGGAUAUAGCCUGUGAUAUUUUCCUCCACUUCUAAAGAAAUUUUCGAUAUUUUAAGUUAUACAGCUAUGUUUUGUCAAGACUUUGAAGAGUCAGGGAUAUACUGCUUGCAAGCUAAGAGGGUUCCUAAAGGAAAUAGAUCAAAUGGCUUGGAUGGAAGUUUUCCAUGGGCUAAAGCUCUCUGGCUACAACCCCUGCUGAGUCAGCAGAUAUCAAUGCUAUUGCUGGACAUGACACCAUCCUAAAGACAGGUCAGUCAGACAUUGGUAGCAGGUUAGAUCAUUUCCAUCAAGGGAGUGGCAAAACUUUGUGGAAUUCAAAAUACCUCUCACUGGAAUAGAUACUUAGUCUAUAAAUUGGUUUACUUUUCCGGACUGCAGUGCUCCUAGAGAAACAACCAUUGCAGAUGUACAGAAUGUCUUCACCAUUACACUUACUUCUGAAGAAGUAAUUCAC
RNAcentral lists this long non-coding RNA (583 nucleotides) under Vulpes vulpes (red fox). RNAcentral's name for it is "lncRNA (ENSVVUG00000023079.1)". Lineage: Eukaryota; Metazoa; Chordata; Mammalia; Carnivora; Canidae. The record is from RNAcentral.